Molecule: ribosomal RNA, 157 nt
Filed under: Mikrocytos sp. AR-2014
Lineage: Eukaryota; Endomyxa; Ascetosporea; Mikrocytida; Mikrocytiidae
Description: partial 18S ribosomal RNA
Rfam family: Eukaryotic small subunit ribosomal RNA
Source: RNAcentral
GUUCACACUGUCCGUCAUACACAUCAACGCCUGCUGUGGCGAGUUGCCUGGACCUGGCGCGCGGAAGCGAGCCGGGUAAGGGAGGCGAGUCCGGGCAGGUGGAGUUUUCUCAAGGCGUAGCAAGGUAUCGGUUGGUGAACCAUCCGAUGGAUCAAAG